CCUACGGGGGGCAGCAGUGGGGGAUAUUGCACAAUGGGGGAAACCCUGAUGCAGCGACGCCGCGUGGGCGAAGAAGUAUUUCGGUAUGUAAAGCCCUAUCAGCAGGGAAGAAGAAAUGACGGUACCUGAGUAAGAAGCACCGGCUAAAUACGUGCCAGCAGCCGCGGUAAUACGUAUGGUGCAAGCGUUAUCCGGAUUUACUGGGUGUAAAGGGAGCGCAGGCGGCACGGCAAGCCUGAUGUGAAAGCCCGCGGCCCAACCGCGGGACUGCAUUGGGAACUACCGGGCUGGAGUGCCGGAGAGGUAGGCGGAAUUCCUAGUGUAGCGGUGAAAUGCGUAGAUAUUAGGAGGAACACCAGUGGCGAAGGCGGCUUACUGGACAGUAACUGACGUUGAGGCUCGAAAGCGUGGGGAGCAAACAGGAUUAGAUACCCUUGUAGUC
This 442-nucleotide ribosomal RNA is filed under the name uncultured bacterium. RNAcentral describes it as "partial 16S ribosomal RNA". It matches the Rfam family "Bacterial small subunit ribosomal RNA", at positions 338 to 795 of the family's 1533-position model. The record is from RNAcentral.